Physeter macrocephalus (sperm whale) is the source of this 515-nucleotide long non-coding RNA. RefSeq lists it as uncharacterized. NCBI's taxonomy places the organism in Eukaryota, Metazoa, Chordata, Mammalia, Artiodactyla, Physeteridae. The transcript has 3 exons. The record is from RefSeq and is a predicted model, not a curated record.
CUCACGCCAAGGAGUACUUCUCAGAACUUCUGCCAGUGUCCUUGUCCCUUCGGUGAGCCACAGCCACCCCCCGCCUCUGCAGGAGAUGCUCCAACACUAGCAGGUGCUCCAGAUUCAGAGAUCAGCAUAUACGGUCCCUAUCUUCAAGAAGCUUACCAUCUAGCUGACUUCUCUGCACAAUGCCAUGGGAGCUGUGACAGAUAUUGAAGCUGUGCCCACUCUGGUCUUGCUUGGCUGGCCCCACCAAAAACAUCACCUCCAAUGACCCAGACAUGCUGUGUUCUUUGUAUGAUCUGGACUCCAAGGAUAAAGAAUACAUGCCCUUGCACACUCACAUGCCUGUGUCUAUGUGUGUUGGGGAGAUUAGUAUGAAACUGAGUGUGGGACGCACAGGAGGGGAUCAACUUAUGACAGCACUUGCGGCCAUGCCCAGAUUCCUCCCAUAAUAUUAUUGUCUUAACAUUUUUUUUCUUUCAGACAACUUGCUUUUUAGAUGUAAAUAAUUUAUGAACAGA